GAUCAACGCUGGCGGCGCGCUUAACACAUGCAAGUCGAACGAGAAAGGGAGCAAUCCUGAGUAAAGUGGCGUACUGGUGAGUAACACGUGGAUAUCUACCUCUUGGUGGGGAAUAACCUGGGGAAACCUGGGCUAAUACCGCAUAAGUUCGUGAGAAGAAAGGCGCAAGUCGCCGAGAGAGGAGUCCGCGGUCGAUUAGGUAGUUGGCGGGGUAAAAGCCCACCAAGCCGAAGAUCGAUAGCCGGCCUGAGAGGGCACACGGCCACACUGGCACUGAAACACGGGCCAGACUCCUACGGGAGGCAGCAGUGGGGAAUCUUGCACAAUGGGGGAAACCCUGAUGCAGCGACGCCGCGUGAGCGAUGAAGCCCUUCGGGGUGUAAAGCUCUUUCGGCAGGAACGAUAAUGACGGUACCUGCAGAAGAAGCUGCGGCUAACUACGUGCCAGCAGCCGCGGUAAU
Molecule: ribosomal RNA, 461 nt
Filed under: uncultured bacterium
Lineage: Bacteria
Description: bacterial SSU rRNA
Rfam family: Bacterial small subunit ribosomal RNA
Source: RNAcentral